GAGAUCAUGCCCUCACGGGUAGACCUCCCACCCUGUGUUAUUUACUCUUGUUGCCUUGUCAGGCCGCCUUCGGGCCCGCGGCUUCGGCUGUGGAGCGCUUGUCAGAGGACCUCAACUCUUAUGUUUACGUGUCGUCUGAGUACUAUAUAAUAAGUUAAAACUUUCAACAACGGAUCUCUUGGUUCU
This 186-nucleotide unclassified non-coding RNA is filed under the name rhizosphere metagenome. RNAcentral describes it as "partial ribosomal RNA internal transcribed spacer region". The record is from RNAcentral.